This 541-nucleotide unclassified non-coding RNA is filed under the name Lolium multiflorum (Italian ryegrass). RNAcentral describes it as "partial external transcribed spacer". The record is from RNAcentral. Lineage: Eukaryota; Viridiplantae; Streptophyta; Magnoliopsida; Poales; Poaceae.
CGUCWUCGUGCGGCCGACUACAGGCGCCGUGUCCCGUCGUUCGUUUGGCUUAUAUGAUGAUGUCGCCUUUCAAGUGCUUGCGUGCUGGUACCCGACCUACGGGAAGUGGUGCUUCUAACACGUUUGCCUCGCGGUGGACACCUUCGGGUGUGCCGCUGCGGCCUAACGGCGCUUGCGGCGUUUCCUCGUGGUUCCGGCACUCCUAGUGCCCGGUGCUACCAAGGCAGCCUCGCUCCCGCUGUUGGUCUCGGAUGUUGCUCACGAUAAAGAGUCUUGGCCCUUUUUUGGUUGCUGAGAUSWGACCCUUACUCUGCUCUCAAAUUUAGAAAACCMCCGAGAACGUGUUUUGCCUCYCYCUCUCCACUUUUUGUGAUGAGAUAUAUAACUCUCUGCSCAUAUUCUCUCUCAUAUGAGAAGAUCGUGCCCCUCUCUCUCGACACCACGGGCGCGKGUGGUGYCUCCGCCUUGACACACAUGUGAAGGGGCAGACAGACACACACUCUAGAUCUCCAAGAACAUGUGCUACCUGGUAGAUCCUGCC